GCCAGUGCACGCCGAAGGAGAUGACGCUAAUCGGCACUAAUUGAGUAGCAGCUGUUUUCCGUGCCGCUUGUUGACGUCUUGUCGACGCUGAUCGCUCGCCACUCGGCUAAACCACACACACACACAUACAUAUAUAUAUAUAUAAUAUGUAAUAUAUAUAUAUAUGUAUAUCGCGACUUCAUUCACAGCACACGAACAGCGACUCAGAAGAACCUUUUUUUUUGUUCCUCUGUUAGAAUUCAAGCUGAAGUUGCGGUGAAGCAUCCACAGACCUCUUCGCCUAGCACGAGAGGAGGCAAGCCCCCCCCCCACACACACACACGCACACCACACCACACCACCACCACUUUCUUUUCCCCUUUCAGUCACCGAACAGCGUCCGACUUCUCUCUAUCUUUCUCUCACACACUGUUUUGUUUCGACGUUGGUGGCCGUAUCAGACCUCCUCUCCUUCUCUCUUCGAGUUUAGAGUUAUCAUAGAUUCACGUUCCUCAUUUUUGCGCGUUCUCUUUUUGUUUGGCGUUUCCUUGCGUUAUCUGCCUGCCUCAAGGAGUGCUAACAGGCACACGUUCUCGUACGUACUCCUUAGACCUUUGUCUUUUGGUUUUCUCUUGCUCACCGUGCUCGCGUCCCUGAAGGUACAGCGGCGGCUUUUUCGCAAAGAGAUUCGGAACAAUUCGGCUGAUUCGCCGUGCACAACGCAUCCUACUGUGAAGAGCAUAUUCGGUUUUCGUGCUGAUGUGGUAGGGUUGUUCUCUGGCUUCGAUCUCGUCCUGUGUGUGCACGUGUGUUGCCGCUCUCCACUGUAGGCAGGCUCUCUUUCUCUCUGUGUGUGUCUGCUUCUGCGCGUGGUCCUUCCUCUUACAGAAUUGCCAUCACUGUUCAAGUCCCUCUCUGUUGCUGGCGUUUUGUGCUUCGCUGGAGUUGAUUGACGCUUCCCGGUGUACAUCCAGGCAUUCAGCGAAGCGUCGCCACUCGCGGCCCCUCGAGAAAUGGAGGAAUACAACAUUAAGCGGAAGAUCGGCGAUGGCGCCCAAGGUGUCGUGUACGAGGUGGAGCACCGCACCUCGAAGACGAGCUAUGCAAUGAAGGUGAUCUGCUGCACCGACCAGGAGCAGGUAAACAUGGCGCUGAAGGAGAUCAAGGUGCUGCUGCAGCUGCGUCACCCCAGCAUCGUCUCUUACGUUGACUUCUUCCUCGUCUUCAACAGUGUCAAGCUCCGCCGCGAGUUCGCCGCACAGAGCGAAGGCGCGUGUGGCAGCGGAGGAUGUGGUGACGGUCAGCAGCGUGAGACGAGGGUGCAGCGAGAGCAGGACAGCCUCUUCCUUUGCAGCCUGUCGAACAGCGAGUUCCACCAUGGCUGCGCCGCCGACAGCGGAUGGAAACAGGCGACUGCGGAAGCCUCUUCGAACGCCCCGACGGGAAAGCCGCAGAGCGGCGCCGCCCGCGUUGUUCCGACCUCGCUGCUCAGCAAGCACCGACAACAGGCAGGAGCGCACUGGCUCGGCGAGGAGGAGAUCGCUGUGUGUCUCGUGAUGGAGCUCUGCAGCAACGGUGACAUGCAAGGGCUCGUGCGGGAGGCGCGGCAGGAGUUCAUGAAGACGGGUAGCCACAGCAUCACAGAGGCGCAGGCGGUGUCGUGGCUCGAGCAGGCUGCUGCGGCGCUGCAGUUCAUUCAUGAUAAGGGCUUUUUGCAUCGCGACCUGAAGCCGACGAACAUCUUCUUCGACGAGUACAAGAACAUCAAGAUCGGUGACUUUGGCCUGGCGGCGACGGUCGGGCUUGGCCGAAACUCGGCGGUUGGGACACCCUACUACCUAGCGCCGGAGCGCAUGCUGCAGCAGCGCUACGACGGCAAGGUGGACAUCUGGGGUCUCGGCGUCGUCUUGCUCGAGCUCCUGACGCUGCGCGAACAGCCGAUCAACAGCAUGUUGCUAGAGAACCCGAAAGUAGUGGACACGGUGAUUCCGCAAAUCACCAAAAUGGGCUACUCCACCAAGCUGGCUGCUUUGCUGCGGGACAUGCUGCAGCGCCAGCCGCAAGGCCGCCCCACCCCGUCCUCUAUUUUGCACCGCUUGGCGAGCAUCACCGCCACCUCGCCGCACCCCGGCAUGUCCGCGACGCUCUUCGCUGGGAUGAGCUGUCCGAAACUAACAGAGGCGCUCUGCGACGUCUGCGAAGUCGAAGUCGCCGGCGUUAUGUGCUCGAGCUGCAAGGCUGCCUUCUGCGCCGGAUGUGAUCGUGCCCGUCACAGGCACCACUCGCGCCAAAGCCACGAUCGCACAAACAUGUCGUCUAUUGUGAACAGCAUGAACGGCGCCUCCUCCUUGCCUCUGUCGGCGACGCCGAUGCAGCAGCAGCAGCAGCAGAAAACGCUGUCCUUUUCGCGGGGGCCCUCGCCGGCGAACACCUCAGACCAGACGCGGGCGAGCAUGCAGAACAUCGUCGUCUUUCCGUCCAGCAGCACCAGUAACUCCCGCACGCUGCCGCGCGAGCGCGAGAUGAACAGCAGGACAUUCACCCGUUUUCAGCUGGCGCUGCCGGGGUGUAGCGUAUCCAUGUCUGAGUACUCCAUGGCACAGGGGUUUCAGGGGCGCCGCGACGGGUCUGGCAUCAACGCGGCCGUAGCAGAGACGGUGCUGCGUGUCCCGGAUGAUGUGCCGAGCCUCGCCCAGGCGUUACAGGUGGUUGAGAGCAUGCCACACAUUCGCAAAAUCCUCGUCGCCGGUAACACCACGCACACAGUGCCGCUUGUCCUUACAUCACGACUGCCGGACAGCAUCAAACUUGUAGGUGAGUCGCCGCCACCGAUGCUGGAGGUGGCGGACAGCCCAUUUGCUUUGCACUGCCAGUCUGGCAGGGGUAGUGUGGAGAACUUCAUCCUCCGCCAUGUCGGACGCUUCCGCUCCAAGCUGCUCAAGCUGGACACAAAUCUCCACCAGGCAGACGCAAACGCAAUGGCAUCGGCGCCUGCAAGAAAGCCGUCGCGGCCGACCGCCGUGUCCAUCACGGGAGGCGAGUGGAGGCUGCACAAGUGUCGCAUCUCGUGCGUCGAGGGAAGUGGUGUGACGGUGGGCGGGGGCAAGCAUACCUCCUCCUCUUCCACCAACGGACAGAACACCUCCGCGACUGGCACGCGGUCGUCACGCCCGCCGCCAUCUCCGAGCUUGGUCGCUCGUUCAAGCCUGGUGAACGGCGUCGAGGAGGGUGCACAGGACGCUGACGUCUUAUCCAUGGAGCCGAUCAUAACCAAGUGCAGCUUCAUCGACGUCACCGCCGCCGGCAUCGUCCUCAUGGAGAAGUCGCGAGGCCUCUACGAAGGCAACACGUUCUCUGGCUGCGGUUUUGCCGCUUUUCUGCUCCGAAAGGAUGCGACGCCGCGCAUUCGCGCCAACCACAUCACCGACGGUGCCGAGGCAGGUAUCUUUUGCCAAGAUGCCUCGGGGUUGAUGGAGUACAACGUGAUUGCGCAGAACGCGGGCUGCGGCAUCGUCGUUAAGGGGGCGUCCGCGGUGCCGGUUAUUCGCAAGAAUCGCGUUCUGUCCAACGUGCAGGCUGGUGUUUUCUGCUGCGACAAGGCCGCGCCGUUUGUCUCCGAUAACGAGAUUCGCCAGAAUGGCAAGGCCGGCGUGUUGGUGAAGACGACCGCCGCACCGAAGAUCACCCGCAACGUCAUUGAGAGCGGCAAGGAGGCUGGCAUUUACAUCUUUGAGAAGGGUGCCGGCAUUAUCGAGGAGAACCGUAUCCGCGGCAACCAGAACGCCGGCCUCCUUGUCACCACCGGCGGCAAUCCGCACGUCAUCCAUAACACCAUCAGCAAGAACGCGUACGAGGGCAUCUGGGUGUGCAAGCACGGCGGUGGCACCUUCUGCGACAACGAUUUGCGCGGAAACACCAAAGGGGCCAAGGACAUCGAGGCGGACAGCCGCGUCACAUGGGUGGGUAAUGUCGAGCAGUAACAGUUCACGUUCCACCAUGGAUGUCGGCGAAAGAAGUGGAUCAGAGCACUUGUUUGUUGCUAAUGCUGUUCUUGCUCCCGCCCCGUUUCGUGUUUCAGCUGUAUCGCGGACGGCAAGACGUGCUGUCGAGCCAUCCCUCCCCGUGCUUUCACGAGCCCACUUAUUGUUGCCUUUCUCUUUCGGUGUGGGCUGUCUCUAGAUUUACUUUCCUGCUUCUCUCUUCGGAUGCAACUCUCAGCAUUCGUGUGUGAGGCGUGGCACAGAAGUACUGCCAUUUUAGGUGGAGCGACUCUUUGCACUCAUACGCCCCGAGAUGGACAUACCACCUUGGUUUGUACGUAUGAUAAUGUCGAGGGUGCACAGUCCGUGCUCGAUAGCGCUGUUGCCGUCGCGGCCAUUGGUGAGACUUUUUUGUUUUCGGUGUCGUCCGCCACGGUCUUUUGACCUUCUUGUUGCUUGCGUUCUCUGACACACCACACACACCACACACACACCACACACACACCACAAUCUUCAUACAGAACCAAGCACGCACACUGAAGCAUCGCUGCUUGCCAGCGUCCGCUUUCUGUGCGCCUUGGACUCGUCUCCAUCGUUGCCUUUUUUGUUUGCUUGGGGGUUUUUCUUCACGUAUCUCCCGUACUGUCCUUGUUUCACCUUUAGAGCAGCUCCUCUCCACCACCACCACUCUCUCCUCCCUACAUCGUACGCGCACGUAUCUCACCAUGCGGCCCUCCCGCUAUCUUUUUUUUUUUCGCCCACUCACAGUGCCGCAGUAUUUCAUGUGCACAGCGCUGUGCUUAUGUGUGGAUCGUUGCCCCCUACCCUCUCCCCUCCAAACCACCACCACCACCCCUUUUUCUUUCUUUAAUAGAUGCCUCCGUGCUUUUCUUUUCGCCUUGGAGGAGGUACGCACAGUGCUUACGGUGCAGAGAGGCAGCGUGCCCACGGAGGCGGUCCUUUUCUUCUUGCUUGAUGCCCAGCGUGUGUGCACCACGUCUCUCUGUCUCUCUCUCUCUCGGCCAAUCCAAAAAACUGAAGCGCACUCGACACAAUCACGUUUUGGUGAGCGUCACGAACGCCUCCACGGCAGGUGGGACGCGGAAAAGAAAGGAAACGCAAAAGGGAUCGCCGAAACAUGGCAACAGAGGAGGAAUUCGGACGGAGUCGCCAGGCGGGGUGUGCCCAACAAAGGGAUAGAGUCAAAGAGCGGGCGGCGACAAGCGGAAUCUUGUGCCUGCUCCGUCUCUUGCUCUUGUCUGUGAGGCAGGCGGUGCCUGUGCCACGCGCUUCAUGUGGAACGGCUGUUCAUGUGCGUGUACGUAUGUUCAG
This 5291-nucleotide unclassified non-coding RNA is filed under the name Leishmania donovani. RNAcentral describes it as "gene:LdHU3.30.2900(CDS-product:protein_kinase_put ative)". The record is from RNAcentral. Lineage: Eukaryota; Euglenozoa; Kinetoplastea; Trypanosomatida; Trypanosomatidae.